UUAAAUUGAAGAGUUUGAUCAUGGCUCAGAUUGAACGCUGGCGGCAGGCCUAACACAUGCAAGUCGAACGGUAACAGGAAGCAGCUUGCUGCUUUGCUGACGAGUGGCGGACGGGUGAGUAAUGUCUGGGAAACUGCCUGAUGGAGGGGGAUAACUACUGGAAACGGUGGCUAAUACCGCAUAACGUCGCAAGACCAAAGAGGG
Molecule: ribosomal RNA, 204 nt
Filed under: Salmonella enterica subsp. enterica serovar Schwarzengrund
Lineage: Bacteria; Pseudomonadati; Pseudomonadota; Gammaproteobacteria; Enterobacterales; Enterobacteriaceae
Also listed under: 1 other name
Description: partial 16S ribosomal RNA
Rfam family: Bacterial small subunit ribosomal RNA
Source: RNAcentral